AUGCCGGAUGCUCCGACUCCUCGCAUGGGGUGUCGGGAAAGAUUUCAUCGGUAUGGGAUGGGGUCGCGUCCUAUCAGGUAGUCGGCGGGGUAACGGCCCACCGAGCCUACGACGGGUAGCCGGCCUGAGAGGGCGACCGGCCACAUUGGGACUGAGAUACGGCCCAGACUCCUACGGGAGGCAGCAGUGGGGAAUAUUGCACAAUGGGCGCAAGCCUGAUGCAGCGACGCCGCGUGCGGGAUGACGGCCUUCGGGUUGUAAACCGCUUUUGAUCGGGAGCAAGCCUUCGGGUGAGUGUACCUUUCGAAUAAGCACCGGCUAACUACGUGCCAGCAGCCGCGGUAAUACGUAGGGUGCAAGCGUUAUCCGGAAUUAUUGGGCGUAAAGGGCUCGUAGGCGGUUCGUCGCGUCCGGUGUGAAAGUCCAUCGCUUAACGGUGGAUCUGCGCCGGGUACGGGCGGGCUGGAGUGCGGUAGGGGAGACUGGAAUUCCCGGUGUAACGGUGGAAUGUGUAG
Molecule: ribosomal RNA, 515 nt
Filed under: Bifidobacterium pseudocatenulatum
Lineage: Bacteria; Bacillati; Actinomycetota; Actinomycetes; Bifidobacteriales; Bifidobacteriaceae
Description: bacterial SSU rRNA
Rfam family: Bacterial small subunit ribosomal RNA
Source: RNAcentral